GGGUGAUUGCGCAACGACACCAGGUUGUCGACACACUAAGGCAUGCCAGGUAUACACCCACAGUACUGGCAUUCAGAUCGAAUGUUC
This is a long non-coding RNA of Hippocampus comes (tiger tail seahorse), 87 nucleotides long. RefSeq lists it as uncharacterized. The transcript is spliced from 3 exons. The record is from RefSeq and is a predicted model, not a curated record. NCBI's taxonomy places the organism in Eukaryota, Metazoa, Chordata, Actinopteri, Syngnathiformes, Syngnathidae.